Molecule: ribosomal RNA, 511 nt
Filed under: uncultured bacterium
Lineage: Bacteria
Description: partial 16S ribosomal RNA
Source: RNAcentral
GGAGUUAGCCGGUGCUUCUUCUGCGAGUAACGUCACAGAUGUAAGGUAUUAACUUACACCCUUUCCUCCUCGCUGAAAGUGCUUUACAACCCGAAGGCCUUCUUCACACACGCGGCAUGGCUGCAUCAGGGUUUCCCCCAUUGUGCAAUAUUCCCCACUGCUGCCUCCCGUAGGAGUCUGGGACGUGUCUCAGUCCCAGUGUGGCUGAUCAUCCUCUCAGACCAGCUAGGGAUCGUCGCCUAGGUGAGCCUUUACCUCACCUACUAGCUAAUCCCACCUGGGCUUAUCCAUCAGCGCAAGGCCCGAAGGUCCCCUGCUUUCCCCCGUAGGGCGUAUGCGGUAUUAGCAGUCGUUUCCAACUGUUAUCCCCCACAAAUGGGCAAAUUCCCAGGCAUUACUCACCCGUCCGCCGCUCGUCAUCUUCAAAAGCAAGCUUUUGAAAUGUUACCGCUCGACUUGCAUGUGUUAGGCCUGCCGCCAGCGUUCAAUCUGAGCCAGAAUCGAACCCUGA